AUUGAACGCUGGCGGCAGGCCUAACACAUGCAAGUCGAGCGGAUGAAGGGAGCUUGCUCCUGGAUUCAGCGGCGGACGGGUGAGUAAUGCCUAGGAAUCUGCCUGGUCGUGGGGGAUAACGUCCGGAAACGGGCGCUAAUACCGCAUACGUCCUGAGGGAGAAAGUGGGGGAUCUUCGGACCUCACGCUAUCAGAUGAGCCUAGGUCGGAUUAGCUAGUUGGUGGGGUAAAGGCCUACCAAGGCGACGAUCCGUAACUGGUCUGAGAGGAUGAUCAGUCACACUGGAACUGAGACACAGUCCAGACUCCUACGGGAGGCAGCAGUGGGGAAUAUUGGACAAUGGGCGAAAGCCUGAUCCAGCCAUGCCGCGUGUGUGAAGAAGGUCUUCGGAUUGUAAAGCACUUUAAGUUGGGAGGAAGGGCAGUAAGUUAAAACCUUGCUGUUUUGACGUUACCAACAGAAAAAGCACCGGCUAACUUCGUG
Molecule: ribosomal RNA, 484 nt
Filed under: uncultured bacterium
Lineage: Bacteria
Description: partial 16S ribosomal RNA
Rfam family: Bacterial small subunit ribosomal RNA
Source: RNAcentral